Molecule: ribosomal RNA, 283 nt
Filed under: uncultured bacterium
Lineage: Bacteria
Description: partial 16S ribosomal RNA
Rfam family: Bacterial small subunit ribosomal RNA
Source: RNAcentral
CGUCUGAUUAGCUAGUUGGUGGGGUAAAGGCCUACCAAGGCGACGAUCAGUAGCCGGCCUGAGAGGGUGAACGGCCACACUGGGACUGAGACACGGCCCAGACUCCUACGGGAGGCAGCAGUGGGGAAUAUUGCGCAAUGGGGGAAACCCUGACGCAGCGACGCCGCGUGAGCGAAGAAGGCCUUAGGGUUGUAAAGCUCUGUUUUAAGGGACGAAUGCCUAGACGAGUAAUAUGCGUUUAGAAUGACGGUACCUUAAGAGGAAGCCCCGGCUAACUACGUGC